AGAGUUUGAUCAUGGCUCAGAUUGAACGCUGGCGGCAGGCUUAACACAUGCAAGUCGAACGGUAACAGGGAGAAGCUUGCUUCUUUGCUGACGAGUGGCGGACGGGUGAGUAAUGCUUGGGAAUCUGGCUUAUGGAGGGGGAUAACUACGGGAAACUGUAGCUAAUACCGCGUAAUAUCUUCGGAUUAAAGGGUGGGACUUUCAGGCCACCUGCCAUAAGAUGAGCCCAAGUGGGAUUAGGUAGUUGGUGGGGUAAAGGCCUACCAAGCCGACGAUCUCUAGCUGGUCUGAGAGGAUGGCCAGCCACACUGGAACUGAGACACGGUCCAGACUCCUACGGGAGGCAGCAGUGGGGAAUAUUGCACAAUGGGGGGAACCCUGAUGCAGCCAUGCCGCGUGAAUGAAGAAGGCCUUCGGGUUGUAAAGUUCUUUCGGUGAUGAGGAAGGUGUUUGUUUUAAUAGAACAAGCAAUUGACGUUAGUCACAGAAGAAGCACCGGCUAACUCCGUGCCAGCAGCCGCGGUAAUACGGAGGGUGCGAGCGUUAAUCGGAAUGACUGGGCGUAAAGGGCACGCAGGCGGUGACUUAAGUGAGAUGUGAAAGCCCCGGGCUUAACCUGGGAAUUGCAUUUCAUACUGGGUCGCUAGAGUAUUUUAGGGAGGGGUAGAAUUCCACGUGUAGCGGUGAAAUGCGUAGAGAUGUGGAGGAAUACCGAAGGCGAAGGCAGCCCCUUGGGAAUAUACUGACGCUCAUGUGCGAAAGCGUGGGGAGCAAACAGGAUUAGAUACCCUGGUAGUCCACGCUGUAAACGCUGUCGAUUUGGGGAUUGGGCUUAGAGCUUGGUGCCCGUAGCUAACGUGAUAAA
RNAcentral lists this ribosomal RNA (865 nucleotides) under uncultured bacterium. Its description in RNAcentral is "bacterial SSU rRNA". It matches the Rfam family "Bacterial small subunit ribosomal RNA", at positions 8 to 864 of the family's 1533-position model. The record is from RNAcentral.